This 270-nucleotide long non-coding RNA is filed under the name Salvator merianae (Argentine black and white tegu). RNAcentral's name for it is "lncRNA (ENSSMRG00000015581.1)". The record is from RNAcentral. Lineage: Eukaryota; Metazoa; Chordata; Lepidosauria; Squamata; Teiidae.
UAUUCUGCAGCCUCGCCAGUGAGAAGGAGGGUGGGCUCCGCCUGUGCACCGCGGUGAGAGAAGAGGCGACGGCCGUGGCUCCUUGUAGUGGGUUGACUUUUGCACUGAAUGUAGCUGGGACGGGUACUUUGGGGCUUCAACAGCCCUGAAAAGCUGUCAAGGCAGAAUUUUGUAUUUCAGCAGAAUUUUGCACAGAUUCUGUUCCCAUGCAAACUGAUGAGGGAGAAAUUUUGGAGGAGGGCAGUUCCAAGGUCAGUGAGAUAGCAGAAU